UGGCGCGAUGCAGCCUGGCUCGCGUGCUUCGUUCGGAACGAAGAGGUCGGAGGUUCAAAUCCUCUCGCCCCGACCA
Molecule: transfer RNA, 76 nt
Filed under: Pseudomonadota bacterium
Lineage: Bacteria; Pseudomonadati; Pseudomonadota
Description: Proteobacteria bacterium (freshwater metagenome) tRNA-Pro
Rfam family: tRNA
About the family: Transfer RNA (tRNA) molecules are approximately 80 nucleotides in length. Their secondary structure includes four short double-helical elements and three loops (D, anti-codon, and T loops).
Source: RNAcentral